Molecule: ribosomal RNA, 497 nt
Filed under: uncultured bacterium
Lineage: Bacteria
Description: partial 16S ribosomal RNA
Rfam family: Bacterial small subunit ribosomal RNA
Source: RNAcentral
GAUGAACGCUGGCGGCGUGCCUAAUACAUGCAAGUCGAGCGAACAGAUGAGGAGCUUGCUCCUCUGACGUUAGCGGCGGACGGGUGAGUAACACGUGGAUAACCUACCUAUAAGACUGGGAUAACUUCGGGAAACCGGAGCUAAUACCGGAUAAUAUAUUGAACCGCAUGGUUCAAUAGUGAAAGACGGUUUUGCUGUCACUUAUAGAUGGAUCCGCGCCGCAUUAGCUAGUUGGUAAGGUAACGGCUUACCAAGGCAACGAUGCGUAGCCGACCUGAGAGGGUGAUCGGCCACACUGGAACUGAGACACGGUCCAGACCCCUACGGGAGGCAGCAGUAGGGAUUCUUCCGCAAUGGGCGAAAGCCUGACGGAGCAACGCCGCGUGAGUGAUGAAGGUCUUCGGAUCGUAAAACUCUGUUAUUAGGGAAGAACAAAUGUGUAAGUAACUAUGCACGUCUUGACGGUACCUAAUCAGAAAGCCACGGCUAACUACGUG